AAUAAACACGUCAUUCAAAUAUACAGCUCUCUCUGGGGAUUCCUUUCCGGAUUCGCUGGGCCAGCGGUCGGCCUGGGGCUGGUGGGCCUGGGGGUGGGCGGCGGCCGCCCCACCGGACAUUUCAGCCCCACCGUGAGCACCACGAGCGAGUCAACUCUGCAAGCCCCACUUUGUGAGACGGCAGCGUGGUCAGGCUUUUCCCGGACUGGUUGGCUGGUUCAUUCAUUCAUCCAGCAGGGAUUCCCGAGAGCCCGCACUGCCCAGCGCUGCGUCGGGCUGGAAAUUGGGGGUGAACAGACCAGGCGGGGCCCGUGCGCUCCUGAAGCUGUGCGCGCCGGCGGGGGAGCAGCCACGCGGUGCAGGCGAUGCUGUAGGUGCUCUACACGGCCCCGCGGCGGGCCGGCGGGGGAGGAAACUGAGGCCGGGGCGCAGGCGGGGCGCAGGCGGGGCUGCAGGCGGGGCUCGGGGGGCUCCGGGAGCGCAGGCGGGGCGCAGGCGGGGCUCGGGGGGCUCCCGGGGCGGCGGGGCGCAGGCGGGGCUUGGGGGGCUCCCGGGGCGGCGGGGCGCAGGCCCGGCUGGACUGCGCGGGGCCCGCCGCUCCCGCCCUCCGCGGGCCCACGUGACGGGAAGCGGCGGCGGCGGCGGCGGCGGCGGCGGCGGCGGCGGCGGCGGGGCCGGGCCAGCCCAGGAGCGGCGGGCCGGGAGCGGCGGGCGGCGCGGGGCCCCAGGCCGCAGGGCCGCGCGGGACGGCGGAGGGCGGCGGGCGCCGCGCGGGUGAGUGCGGGGGGCGGUGGCGGGGCCGGGCGGGGCGCGGGGGGCGCGGGGGGCGGCGAGGGAGGGGCGCCUGGGGUGGGGGCGGGGCGCGGCCGGCAGGUGUGUCGGCGGGGGCGGGGGGCUCGUUGGCGAGGGCAAGUGUGCACGUGCGCGUGGCUGGGACAGGUGCGCCCGCGCGGGGGUCAGCGGGGGCGGAGGGUGCGGGGCGUGUGCGAGCUUAGGGCGGGCGAGGCGGGGCAGACCCAGCCCCCGGUUUGGGGGAGGCUUUCGGUUUUCUGGGGGGAGGAGCCCCGGACUCCGCCCCUGCGCCCGGAGCCCCGCCGCCCCGUGUCAGGACUGGUUCUGUCGCUGGAGCUCCUGGGAUUUCAGAGUUGA
RNAcentral lists this long non-coding RNA (1149 nucleotides) under Canis lupus familiaris (dog). RNAcentral describes it as "lncRNA (ENSCAFG00030021966.1)". The record is from RNAcentral. Lineage: Eukaryota; Metazoa; Chordata; Mammalia; Carnivora; Canidae.